UGACUGUGAAGAUAUGAGUGAUGAAGCCAAUUGUGAUUGUGCUGCUGGAUUCUUUGCAUGCCAUAAAAAUAGUUGUUUGCCCAUUAGUACCUUAUGUGAUGGAAAUAUCGACUGUCCUAAUGGCAUUGAUGAGGCCAAUUGUGAAAAAACAGAUGUGAAUUGUGCGACCAACACAUACAAAUGUGCUGAUGGAAAAUGUAUUAUCA
Pristis pectinata (smalltooth sawfish) is the source of this 206-nucleotide long non-coding RNA. RefSeq lists it as uncharacterized. The transcript is spliced from 3 exons. The record is from RefSeq and is a predicted model, not a curated record. Lineage: Eukaryota; Metazoa; Chordata; Chondrichthyes; Rhinopristiformes; Pristidae.